GACGAACGCUGGCGGCGUGCUUAACACAUGCAAGUCGAACGGCAAGGCCCUGCUUUUGUGGGGUUCUCGAGUGGCGAACGGGUGAGUAACACGUGAGUAACCUGCCCUCGACUUUGGGAUAACUUCAGGAAACUGGGGCUAAUACCGGAUAGGAGCUCCUGCUGCAUGGUGAGGGUUGGAAAGUUUCGGCGGUUGGGGAUGGACUCGCGGCUUAUCAGCUUGUUGGUUGGGUAGUGGCUUACCAAGUCUUUGACGGGUAGCCGGCCUGUGAGGGUGACCAGUCACAUUGGGCCUGGGGUACGGCCCAGACUCCUACGGGGGACAGCAGUGGAGAAUAUUGCACAAUGAUCGGAAGCCUGAUGCAGCAACGCCGCGUGCGGGAUGACGGCCUUCGGGUUGUAAACCGCUUUCGCCUGUUACGAAGCGUGAGUGACGGUAAUGGGUAAAGAAGCACCGGCUAACUACGUG
This 468-nucleotide ribosomal RNA is filed under the name uncultured bacterium. RNAcentral describes it as "partial 16S ribosomal RNA". It matches the Rfam family "Bacterial small subunit ribosomal RNA", at positions 28 to 507 of the family's 1533-position model. The record is from RNAcentral.